RNAcentral lists this ribosomal RNA (253 nucleotides) under uncultured bacterium. Its description in RNAcentral is "partial 16S ribosomal RNA". It matches the Rfam family "Bacterial small subunit ribosomal RNA", at positions 524 to 776 of the family's 1533-position model. The record is from RNAcentral.
UACAGAGGGGGCAAGCGUUGUUCGGAAUUACUGGGCGUAAAGGGCGCGUAGGCGGCCUGUUAAGUCGAACGUGAAAUCCCCGGGCUCAACCCGGGAACUGCGUCCGAUACUGGCAGGCUUGAAUCCGGGAGAGGGAUGCGGAAUUCCAGGUGUAGCGGUGAAAUGCGUAGAUAUCUGGAGGAACACCGGUGGCGAAGGCGGCAUCCUGGACCGGCAUUGACGCUGAGACGCGAAAGCCAGGGGAGCAAACGGG